GCCCAUGUGGCUCAGUAGGUAGAGCACUUCCAUGGUAAGGAAGGGGUCAUCGGUUCGAAUCCGGUCAUGGGCU
Molecule: transfer RNA, 73 nt
Filed under: Dethiosulfatibacter aminovorans DSM 17477
Lineage: Bacteria; Bacillati; Bacillota; Tissierellia
Rfam family: tRNA
About the family: Transfer RNA (tRNA) molecules are approximately 80 nucleotides in length. Their secondary structure includes four short double-helical elements and three loops (D, anti-codon, and T loops).
Source: Rfam by way of RNAcentral